Molecule: long non-coding RNA, 742 nt
Organism: Mauremys reevesii (Reeves's turtle)
Lineage: Eukaryota; Metazoa; Chordata; Testudines; Geoemydidae
Exons: 3
Source: RefSeq, a predicted model, not a curated record
CAUCACCCCACCUCUCCAAGCAACCUGAUGUACAAAUUGAAGAGCACAGAGGAUGAGAUAGAGUCCAGUAGGUUUCCACAGGUGACAGCAAUUAGGCUGGCAGAGAAAUGGAGUGGAAGGAAGAUUUCUGCAGAGCAGCUGUCAGCGCCAUUCGUUUGCCAGGGACUAGAAGCAUGUAAUUCACAACUUCGACAGGACAAAGCGCUAUGGCAUCUGGCCAGCCAACAUGGAACUGGGCUUCAUAACAGAAAAUCAGCUCCUGGGAAAGGAGGAGUCGUAGCAGCUGAGAAAAUGAACAGCUGCAUCAGGGGAAGAACAGCAAUAAGAAGACAAUUCACAGGCUCUGGAUGAUAGACACCAAAUUAAUCAAAGGGGACAGGUGGGGAACAGCACUCCAUGUAUCACUGAGAUCUUGGCUGUGCCACCGCGGAAGAGAGAGGAUAGCAAGACAUCUUCAUUUUGGCUGCUCAUGAGCCAUGAGAGAGAUGUAGCGUGUAUGUGCGUGUGUGUGUGCACACACGCACAUGCACUUACACACAAAUAAACAAGGACACAAAUAAUCAUCCUGUUAGACAAGCCUCAUCUACUGCCUUUUACUUGCUGCCCCACGCUCCUCAAGAUUUGGCGCAGGCAUGAGUACCCAACGAUCAAGGCGCUGUGGCCCAGGGGAUGGGGGGAAAUGGACUGGGACCCCCCCCCAAGUCUGAGGGGUCAAGCUUUUGCUGAGUGAACUCAGGCGAGU